AUGGACAAUCCGCAGCGAGCACCCUAGAGCAGGGUGACGCCCACAGACUAAGUGAUUGUGGGCAGGACUCGUCCUGCUUAAGAUAUAGUCGGGCCUGCCUGGAAACAGGCGGGGUAUUCGCAGAAUACAAACCGCUCCGUAGGUGAACCUGCGGAGGGAUCAUUA
RNAcentral lists this ribosomal RNA (165 nucleotides) under fungal endophyte sp. II/61 10. RNAcentral's name for it is "partial 18S ribosomal RNA". The stretch from base 1 to 112 matches the Rfam family "Group I catalytic intron", at positions 83 to 253 of the family's 253-position model. Rfam says of the family: Group I catalytic introns are large self-splicing ribozymes. Lineage: Eukaryota; Fungi. The record is from RNAcentral.